AAAUAGAUACCCAGGUAGUCCACGCCGUAAACGAUGAGUGCUAAGUGUUAGAGGGUUUCCGCCCUUUAGUGCUGAAGUUAACGCAUUAAGCACUCCGCCUGGGGAGUACGGCCGCAAGGCUGAAACUCAAAGGAAUUGACGGGGGCCCGCACAAGCGGUGGAGCAUGUGGUUUAAUUCGAAGCAACGCGAAGAACCUUACCAGGUCUUGACAUCCUCUGACAACCCUAGAGAUAGGGCUUCUCCUUCGGGAGCAGAGUGACAGGUGGUGCAUGGUUGUCGUCAGCUCGUGUCGUGAGAUGUUGGGUUAAGUCCCGCAACGAGCGCAACCCUUGAUCUUAGUUGCCAUCAUUAAGUUGGGCACUCUAAGGUGACUGCCGGUGACAAACCGGAGGAAGUGGGGAUGACGUCAAAUCAUCAUGCCCCUUAUGACCUGGGCUACACACGUGCUACAAUGGACGGUACAAAGAGCUGCAAGACCGCGAGGUGAGCUAAUCUCAUAAAACCGUUCUCAGUUCGGA
This 519-nucleotide ribosomal RNA is filed under the name uncultured bacterium. Its description in RNAcentral is "bacterial SSU rRNA". It matches the Rfam family "Bacterial small subunit ribosomal RNA", at positions 776 to 1297 of the family's 1533-position model. The record is from RNAcentral.